UCACCCAGGCAUUCAUCAGUCGCAUGCAGACUAUCAGGGAGGCUGUUCCCAGUCUGGCUGAUGAUGAGGAGUACAGGGGACCUGUUCAGGAGCCAACCCCAAAGAAAAGGAGAACAUUGGAGAAGACACACGACACCAUUUGGCACUGGAGGUAUGUGACACCAUUAUGAGCCAUGCCAAGGAGAGGUUUUCUUUCACCAAGCACCUCGUCAGCGCCACUCUGUUGCAAGGAGACUUGUUCCAACAACACAGCAGGAAGUUCCCAGAUUCAGCACUGAAAACCACAGUGGAAGCCUACCCUUCACUGGACAAGGCCAAACUUAAAACAGAAUUGUCCCUGAUCUACGAGAACGAGGAGUUCCAGAGUUGCAGUGGUGCACUGGCUCUCUAUCAGGUUUUGAUGGAAAACAACCUUCAAGACACAUUCACUGAAACUGUAAGUCUUCUGAACAUCCUCAUCACCACACCAAUGACAACAUCAGACUCGGAGAGGUGCUUCUCUACUU
Long non-coding RNA from Thalassophryne amazonica, 506 nucleotides. RefSeq lists it as uncharacterized. The transcript has 3 exons. NCBI's taxonomy places the organism in Eukaryota, Metazoa, Chordata, Actinopteri, Batrachoidiformes, Batrachoididae. The record is from RefSeq and is a predicted model, not a curated record.